Molecule: ribosomal RNA, 253 nt
Filed under: uncultured bacterium
Lineage: Bacteria
Description: partial 16S ribosomal RNA
Rfam family: Bacterial small subunit ribosomal RNA
Source: RNAcentral
UACGGGGGGGGCAAGCGUUGUUCGGAAUUACUGGGCGUAAAGGGUGCGUAGGCGGCUCUCUAAGUUGGAUGUGAAAACUCUGGGCUCAACCCAGAGCCUGCAUCCAAAACUGGAGAGCUAGGGUUCUGGAGGGGAAAGCGGAAUUCCUGGUGUAGCGGUGAAAUGCGUAGAUAUCAGGAGGAACACCGGUGGCGAAGGCGGCUUUCUGGACAGAUACCGACGCUGAGGCACGAAAGCUAGGGGAGCAAACAGG